Molecule: ribosomal RNA, 292 nt
Filed under: uncultured bacterium
Lineage: Bacteria
Description: partial 16S ribosomal RNA
Rfam family: Bacterial small subunit ribosomal RNA
Source: RNAcentral
GUGCCAGCCGCCGCGGUAAUACGGAGGGUGCGAGCGUUGUUCGGAUUUAUUGGGCGUAAAGCGCGUGCAGGCGGUCUUCUAAGUCUGAUGUGAAAGCCCCGGGCUUACCCCGGGAAGUGCAUUGGAAACUGGGAGACUUGAGUACGGGAGAGGGCAGCGGAAUUCCUGGUGUAGGGGUGAAAUCCGCAGAUAUCAGGAAGAACACCGGUGGCGAAGGCGGCUGCCUAGACCGAUACUGACGCUGAGACGCGAAAGCGUGGGGAUCAAACAGGAUUAGAAACCCCCGUAGUCC